GAGCUGCCUUUAAAGAUCAUGAACAUGUUUAGUAAUUCAUCUGAGAGGAAAUGCUCAGUAUCAGUGCAUAUAGAAAAUGUACUAAAAACAUUCCUUUAAAGAGAUUAUUACAUUGUUAUUAUUUCACUUAGGUUGCUAAUACUAGAGAUAGUCUGAAAAUGCUUCAAAUGAGGAAAUAAGUGCAGUAUUUUCUCCUGCACCAUUACCUGCUCUGUUUUUCCCUCCUCUGUGACCUUGGUGCAAUCUGUUAAACACUACAAGUACUUAAUGUGAUAACUCCACGAUUUGUAAUAGGGACAAUGUUUGGAAUACAAGGAGCAAGUGGCAGGAUGGCACUUCACUUUGAUGGCACUUCACCGGUAUCUCGCCGCAUAUGCUGAUCUCUGCAGUGUUUACCACCAGUGUGCUCAGUGAAACACCAAGUCAUCAUUUGUGCUUGGAUUAUAGCAAAGCUUAAAGCUAUUUGCCUAUUACUUACAGAAGGCAGAAAAGAAACACCUCAAGGUAUGCUCAAAACAGAACUUCACGGCCAACUCUGCCUGGAGCUACUUUUGUCAGAGCAGCUGGAAUUGUUUUAAUUAUAGUUCUUAUAAUCAUCAUUGUAAUUGACUACUGUCUCUUCUGCAGAGAAGAAAAACAUGAUGGGCAUUCAAAUAUCUAAAAUAAAAAGCCCAGAAAAACUAUCAUUAUUCAUGGACUGCAACUGAGUUUGCACCUUCUGCUACUUCUGAUAACAGCUGUUGGAAGACACCAUGAAAGCACUGUUUUACAACCCUUCUUACUUUGUUAUUUGCACUAUGUUCAGCUGUUGGAAGACACCAUGAAAGCACUGUUUUACAACCCUUCUUUGUUACUUGCACUAUGUUUUAACCCUGUGGUUUAUGGUCAGUGAAACAAAGAGCUGCAAACCAAGCUAUUCAAGGGGUGAAGACUUGGUGCAAUUACUCAAUACAUGGCAAACAUUAAUGACACAGCAGCUAUUUAGUUUUGCUGAGUUAGGUGAGUGAUCUUACAUGUAAAAUUCUAACUUUCCACUUUCUAAGAAAUUAUGAUCAUCAGGACUGUAAAAUAAAGGAGAAAGCCUUAGAUACACCUGCACAAAGUGUUUUUAUGACACUGACUGGAACUUAAGGGAAGUUGAACUGCUUCGUUCCUUUAACAAUUUUCAUAUUCUUGUUAUUAUGACUCUACUACUAUGAAGCUGCUAUGAAACAAGAUCAAGCAGAAGACAGAGUACGACUUGGCAUGUGAGAAUGCUGCAGGUUUGCCAAAUGAAAUCUAAAACAGGAUUUAUUUUAAAAGAAAUGAAAACCUACUUUCACUGGCAGUGAAAGUUAUGACUACAAAGAAUACGAUGGAGUCUAUCUGAAGGACCACUAAAAUUGCUGUACUUGAGGAAAAGAUAUGCGUAUUUACGUCUCUGGCUUCCUUACAUUCAUUGUAUGCUCUGGAAGGUCCAGAGGUUGCCUUUUGAAGUAAGUGUUGAAUCAGAGCAGGAGAGACAAGAAGAGUCCUGCUACAGGGAGGUGGGGGAAAGUCCAAGCUGACAGGUGGAAAAAAGUACUGUCUGCAUGAAGACUGGAGUAACAUGGCCUGUUCUGAGUAUCACUUAACUGCAUUGCAAGUACAGGACCAGAAUUAGAAUAACUGCAAACUGAAACCUGAAUAGUGGUGGAAACAGUCAUCUCUACAGAAUUCUGGUAACACAAGCUGUGUGAUCGAUGGGGUCUCUCUUCUGAGUGUCUUGUUCACACGCACUUGUCCUGGCAAGGAGCCCUAGGUCCUGGAUAUCAGGAAGCAGUUCACAGUUUUUCCUUUCUGUGGCUUCUUUGGGGUUACAGCCCCAGGACUGACUUAAGGUCAGUCACUAAUGCAGAUUUAUGGUGGCUGUCACAACAAUAGUAAUUUUGGUAUCUUUUAAAGGCAGAGUUUGCAGUUAAAGUAAAUUCCAGUUGAUAAAACUUUAGAUAAUAUCAGAUUUUAUGCAGUUUAAUCAUAGUGAGAUGAUUGUAGGCCACAAGCUAAGGCAAUCACAGACUUUCUCAAACAAGUAUGCUCAGCAUGUUAUAUUUGUCAAGACACUAAACAUUCCAAGAUCAUCAAAUCCUUUUCUCCCACAGAGCUCUUCCUUAUAAAAGUAAGAGGUAAUGCCAGUAGAAUCUUUGUCAGGUAGGCAAAAGCUAAUAAGGGAUGUAGCUAAUUUCUGACUUUCUCCUUAUCCCUUAUGAGAGCUCUAAAAAGCUCUCUUAAGCUACUUUUGCUUUGUUGUGUUUUUAUGCUUUAAAUGCAUAAUGCUAAAUACACUAUUUUGUCUCUGCUCUUCCUCUGCAUUUGUAAAACGGACAUUGGUCCACUAUUCCCUGGUUAUAGUGGCAGAGAACCUCAGAGAGCAGCAGCGACCAACCUGCUCACCCACAGUGAGUAACCACAGGCUAAAAAUGACUGAGAACUACAUGCUAUGUAGAAAAGACACACAGAAACCAAUUGUCCUUGUGGUGGUCCUUCUCCCUUCAGUGGAUUAUGAUGGUUUAUUUGUAUAUUCUCCACUGUAAAUGGAGAGGAUGUCUUCUGAUGGUUUACACAGAGGAUUUCAGAGUAGUGACAGUUGUUGGUGGUCUCAUUUCUCAUUUCAGAGAAUAUAGACAGAAACACCUUGGAGUGUAUCUUCAAGGUUGCCUUCUGUGGUGGUGCAUCCUUCCCCACUCCCUGGGCUGCACUAUCAUCUCAGAAACACCCAUUAAGCUUCGUCCUUGAUGAACAGCACCUGGACUAAGCUCCUCUUGAACUUGUCAGAAACUCUGUCAGGUCCUGUUUUUCAAAAAAUAGCCUUGGAAAAUUAGUGCUCAAGCCUGCAUAGCAACCUUGAGUAGAACAACAUUUUUAUUAUCAAACUUUCGAAGAAAGUCACUGACCCUAAUUGUGGCCAGGAUGGAAAAUUACUAUGACUAAAGCCAACUCUUCUGCAACCCUAUAAACAGUUGUCCUAAGUGAGACCCUUUGAGCUGUCCUGGACCAGAGCAGGACACGCUUGGAGCAGGUGAACUCUCAUGUUGGCUCUACUUGGGGUACCUCUGCCAAACACUGCCAGUGUACCAGUGGACCAGUCAUUUGUGACACUUUCAUGACAGAUGUUCUACAGUCCUGCAGAGCUUUUCAACACUUUCCAGGAAGGUCUCUCAGGCAAUGUGGUUCUGCCCACAUGUAAAGAUAGGUUGGGAUAUUUUACAGAUGUGGGUUGAAAUCAGUGAUUGGGCCUAAAUAGAGAUUACACAGCAGUUUAAUAGGGCAGCAGAUAAAUUAUUUUCCACAGGAGCUGACAUCUACCAGCAGUAACUGCAAUCGUGAUUAGUUUUCCAAACUUUAAAUUUUUUCAGGAGAAAGUAUGCUUUUACAUGUAUUUUUACCUUUUAGUGUUCCUACUCAGAAGUAAAGCUGGCAUCAAGUAUCAUGAAUAUUUUCUCUCAGUGCCUUCCACUCAAAAGGCAAUAGGUUUAGGUGAUACAUUCUGUUUUCUGUAUUUGCAAGCACAGUGAGUGGUCAGGUCUCUGACAGUGAAACACUGUGCUUUUCAGUGCAUUUUUCAUUGAUAACAAAAAUCCUGAAAAUCGAGUUAUGCCCUUGCUUAUGUCUGCUCAGCCUGGCUGCCUAGACCUAGAGCCCAGGACCAUACUGACUUCAUGGAAUUUGCAGUGAUGUAACAGUUUGAAAUUCAGCUUGAGAAAAAAAUGAAAUACAUUCUCCACUGAGUAAAGAGAAGUUGGACUUCCAACUUCUCUUUAUUACUUCUCUUUAUUAUUGCUUUCCAAAACAGAUUCCCUUGCAGUUAGAUGUUUCCAACAAAACUGGUUAGCACAUUGCUGGAAAAAGAUUUUGUGAUCAUGUUUUUUUUGUAUUGUUCUGUUUUGUCAGUGUGGUUCAGAACACAAAGGCUAUUGUUUAAAAAACCAUGAAUGUUA
Melospiza melodia melodia is the source of this 3956-nucleotide long non-coding RNA. RefSeq lists it as uncharacterized. The record is from RefSeq and is a predicted model, not a curated record. The transcript is spliced from 3 exons. Lineage: Eukaryota; Metazoa; Chordata; Aves; Passeriformes; Passerellidae.